ACAAGAAAGUCCCCUGUUUGUCUGCAAAAUAAUAAAUAAUGGUCCUAAAUUCUUGGAAACAAGCAAAGAAGAGAUUCUGAGCAGUAAGAUGUGGUCAACUGUCUCAUCCCAGACAGGAACUGCUUCAAGGAGUGGCAAAAACAACUGUAAAUAGUAAAAAAUGCCUGGAAGAAUUAGUGUAAAUACAUAAAUAGUUUCUGUUGUGUGUUUGUUCCAAUCCCAAUAUUUCUUCUCCUGAUAGCCAAGACUUUGCUGGUGAGAAAAGACUUGGUCACUGUAGAUUUAUGUGUUUUUUGAGAGAUGUACUGUUGGGAUCAAUUUCCGUUUUUGUUUUUGUUUUUUGGUUGACUUUGAUGGUUCUAAAUCUACUGUCACAUUCAUGCUACAUAAUUUUUGCAUAAUUUUGACCAAAAAUAGCCAAAUAUAGCUGGGAGAUCUAAGGGUUAAUGAGAGAACAACUACUAAAGACAAAUAUCACAAUUUGGGUCAACUAAACAGAUAAACACGAACAUGAACCAGUAAUUAUUAAUCUUUUAAUUGUGGACAUCCAAAGCUGAUCAUACAUCAUGUCUAAGCUGGAGCACAGCCACCUGCUGUUAGCCGGAGCUACGACCAUAAUGCUAUUAUACUCUUUAUAAACAGGCAUGACAGAUGACAUCUCAACACUGUUCGGCUGUGUUUGGAUCUAGAUUAUGCGGAUAAGGGUUUGUGUGUAAACUGUGUACGGUGCGCAGAUAUCAACCUGCAGGGAUCUGGAGGUGCUAGCUCUGCAAGUGUAAACCACGCUCAGUAGAGCAUUUUGUGUUUUUAAUUGUUUGCCUGCAGACUUAUUACCUUCUAACUGGAAGGUUUAAAAAGGACUAUUUAAAAAAAUUCCUGGUAGAUGCUCAGCUCUAGUCCGGGUUCUUUAAAGGUCUCUAUAAAAACUUGAUGAGGGUCAGACUCAACGUUCUGAUCUCAUCCCUCAAACUUCUCCACCUGAACACACACUCCUCUGUUUCAGGUUCUUUUCUAACCCACUCCAUCACCCCCGCCGCCUGCGUACCUGUUUGCCUCUUUAUCCUUUGAGCCGCUGAUGUGCUCUCAAUGAUCUGGCCCCAUCUGCCCUGACCUUAUUCAGUCUCUCCAUCCUUCAGCCAGCCUAUCACUUUUUCAGUCUGCCUGCCUGUCAGAAUCACAAUCACUUGUUUUUCCUCUGUGGCCUCGUACCAGGAAUACAGAGGAGCCUGAUGCAGACACUUGUUAACACCUUUAUGAAACAUCCUGGAGAAACGUCUGUCUAGAUUCUCGGUCUUUUGAAAGUUUGAUCAGGCAGCGACUGGAAAUCAAAGACCAACAUCUAAAUAUGCUCGUCUGAUGAACUACACGCCUAAAUGACCAAAAUUAGUGGUGGUUGUAGUAGGGCUGGGUGAUACGGCUUCAAAUCAAUAUCACGAUAUAUUGAUCAGUUCAUCUCGAUAACGAUAAAUGGAAGAUAACUACUCCACAAGCCGCUCACCCCCUCCCACAUUAACUUCGUCUACUUCAGCCGCUACAACUUUUGAACUGUCCUCCAUCUCCUCGACUGUCUUUCCCUCUUUGUUACAGACUGGAUGGGGUGGAGUCACGUCUCUGAUGUAGGACAGCGUCUUAAAGGGACAUGAGACCAUAGCCUACCUACACACUAGAGCAUGACACAGGAGCAGAUUUAAAUAGUAAAAAUAUUAAUCCAGUCCUGUCCCACUCCUGUAGAAUGACUCCCACUCCCAUCCCGCUCCCACUCGAAAUAGGACAACGGAUGGAAAUUAGCCUUAGCUAACUCCGGCUGGUUUACAAUGAGAAUAGACAUACAUAUUUCUUGUAUCAUGUCUUCUUCUCCUUGUCCAUGAACUGGUACUGUCCUGUCUAAAUAAAUAAAUAAAUAAAUAAAAAUAAAUAAAAUGACUCUCACUCCCAUUUGAAUAAAACCAAACAUGUUGAAAAAACGUUGCAUUUUUUUAUUUUAGGUAAAAGUGGCAGCCGAGUCGGAGCGGCAGUCGCUCCGAGUCGCUUUUCACUUCCAGUGGUGACAGGAAGUCAAACCACUGUUGUAGUUCUUUUGUGUUGCUAGCGCAGUCAAGAGUGUUGGCUCUCACUGCAAGAUGACUACAAAAAUGGACGCAUCUGUUCAUCUGGUUGUUUAACACGGCUGAAAAUGAUCGUCUAUUAAUGAUAUAAUAAUAAUGAUAAUAAUGAUAAUGAACCAAAUAUCCUGGUAUGGGCAAAAUGCCGUUGGUUAUUGUCGUGAAUUUCGAUAGCGGUAAAUUUUCGGUUUAUCCCCCAGCCCUAGGUUGUACAUCAUCAUCACACCGUUAUUAGAGAUGAUCUGAGAGACACUGUCGGCGGUUUGAAUGCUGCGAACGUCCAGGUUUACUCGUCCAGAUUGUCUCAUUAAUGAGAGCUGAAUAGACUUGGCCGGUUCAGCGGUCGUCUCUGUGUGCACAGCUGCUCAGGCCGGACGGGGUGAGAGUAAGAUCGGAAAGCAGAGACACUGAGAGCUCGCUUUAGUCUCAAGGGCCCCUAUAUUUACUCCAAAUAAAUACACAUAAGCACUCGGUGAUCCAAUGAAGAAAUGACUUUCAACCUGCUUUUUUAGCCGUUAUGUAACCGAGUCAAACACCAGAGGAGGAACGAAGUCUCAGAUUUGGGACAAAGUGUUCUCAGAAAAGGGUUUUUGUUGUUCUUGAGGGAAGAUGGAGUUCAAGCCCAAGAAAUAGUUCUUGUUCUCCUGUUUGGAGCUUGGAUGAGUAUAUCUAAGCUGCCCACAUAUUUGAUAUUUAUGGAGGGCUGGAACACAGGUCUCCCCCUCCUCCUCCUCCUCCUCUUCCUCCUCCUAUACCAGUUCGGAGGAGAGGCAAAGAGGAUCAGCCAGGAUUUCUGAAGUGUCUGUUGUGUUGCCAUAGAUAGAACAUGCCAGAGGCUCUGAUGAAUAGAUAGCUAACAAUUUAUCUCCCUGCAGAUGGGACCCCCAGACUGGUAAACCCAACGCCCACGUCCCCUGCUCCCUUCGCUCCCCUCCUACGCUGUCUGUCUGUCUGGACGAAGGGGAACCUUCAGUGUUUCUGCCCCGGGGGUUGAGCGAGAUGCACAGCGAAGCACCAGAAUAGUAGGAUAUGUCUGCUCUUUAUUUUUAAACAAGGGGUGAAAAAUUAGCUCCCAGCAUGCAUGUCUGUAAACAACGGCGAGUUUGAACCGGCGGCUCCACUACAGGAGAGUUCACGCGCAGAUACACUCAGCCAACCAUGCCUGGAAGGAGCAGCUCACCGAGCACAACAUCUCCCAAAACAUCCAGGCUACGCUCAGACAGCAGGGAUCACCGAGGCCCAUGUGGUCCUGUCUUCUCUACUCUCUCUUUUGAGGGUCAUCUUCCUAAACUUCAGCCUUCGAAAACACAGAUAAUUUCCUACAUUGUGUCUCAGCUCUGCAGAAAUAAAACUUCACGAGCAGAUCUGAUGAAGCUUUUCUUCCAGCGCGCUCCGAGCUUUCUCAUCUGUAACUGGUCACCGUUAUUCAGAUUCAUUCUGGGGGAGAAAGGAUCAUCAUGGAUGCCUUUCGCUUUCAUUCUGCCUCCUGCAACUGAUGGCUAACAAGGGCUUAGGUUUCCAAAUCUGAGCUAACAAGGGCAGCGCCGUUCCCGUGGUUUUAGGAUUUAGUUUGGCCCCGAGGUAGAAAGGCUGACUAAUAACCAAAAACACAGAGCUGACUUCCACCGCCAACAUGCCCCAGGGAUUUAUUUUCUUACUUCACUGCUCGUUUGCUCAGGACAGGUAGGACUGAGUAGGAACAUCUGUGGGUAAAUCUGUAAAUAUUAGCGGUCUGUGGUCUUUGCUAUUCUUGCAGUCUGGGUAACAUGGUAAAACUCUCAGCAGAACGUGUUUACAUAACUCGCUUUUACUGUUUUCAGGCUUUUUUUAGACAAUAUUUAUGUGCCGCUGCUGCUGCUCUGGUUUCUUUUUCCCACUGAUGAUCAUAUGUUGGUGAAUUUUACCUCAAAGUUACCUGCUGAAUCUCCUGCAGAAGUAAAAAUUUGACUACUGAGUGUUUCAGGGGUUUUAAAGUCAAAUUUCAGACUUUUAAAGACUUUGCACAGUAGAGUAGUAAUAGUAAUAGUAAUUUAUGCAGCCAAGUCAUUUUAAAACUGCUUUUAAUACGAAGUUCCAUUACUAAAUUAUAAAUGCAAAGUUUGAAAGAAUGUUUACGCACUUACAAGUCACUUUAAAAUGGUUUGUUUACUUAAAAUUUCAACAUUUAAAACAAGUUACAGAAGAAAAAAGGGUUAUUACGUUAAAAAAAAGAUAAUUUUGAAAUAUUCAUUAUAUAUCUGAGUGUAAUUUUUAAUGCAUCAGAGUUUCAGUCACUGGCUGGGGUUCAUUUCAAUUUAAAGACGCUGUAAGGAGUUUUAACUGCUAAAGAAACAGUCUAAAUCUGAUCCUGACGCCUCUUUAGGAUCUUUAAAGCAAAUGAGACCAUGAUCAACGUUGCUGAACUUGUUUUAGUUUAAAUCCCUGUAAGGGGUUCGGGUGUCAGACCAGGUGAUUUUCAUGGCUAAUACUCACAGUGCGUACAAUCCUAGCCUAGUUAAACUCAUAAAGACGCUCCUAAAGCACUAAAAUUCUGCUGUACGGCUCUCUGUCUCCUCCAAGCGGUUGUUUAAAGGUAAACUGGAAGUUUUUAACUGGUUUAACGUCUGGUGGACAUCUGCAAAGAUCGGCGGAACUUGGGGGUGGGGCUUAGCCUCUCAUAGCCAAUGGUAACCAAAUUAAAGAGGAUACGGAGGCUAUUGU
RNAcentral lists this long non-coding RNA (4802 nucleotides) under Xyrichtys novacula (pearly razorfish). The record is from RNAcentral. Lineage: Eukaryota; Metazoa; Chordata; Actinopteri; Labriformes; Labridae.